Molecule: regulatory RNA element, 59 nt
Organism: Formosa agariphila KMM 3901
Lineage: Bacteria; Pseudomonadati; Bacteroidota; Flavobacteriia; Flavobacteriales; Flavobacteriaceae
Source: Rfam
AAUAACGAGGAAAGAUUUGACUGAUUGCAACCUCCAUAAAAAAUGCUAAAGGACAGUAU